CUUGCAGACAUGUGUCUCUUCACCAGCAUGACUGAGGUGAGCGCCCAUCAGCACUGCGUCUAAGCACACCAGACCAAUGGAGGUUUGUUUCCAACGUGAAGAAUUCCAGAAGGAAUGAUACAUUCUAGAGACCUACAUGAAUAGUCAUGUGAAAAAGUCCCAACAAAAUGCUCUGCAGCUGUCUCCCCUUAUACCAGGCACCUCCCCCACACAAAGCCUGGAGACCAGAGAAGCCCCACACACCUAAGGUCUCACAGACAUCCCCAUAAAUUUGACAUCAUGAGCAUGUAUGGAUUAUUCUGAAAGACACAAAGUCACUGGUUCUUCCUUUUAUCCAGGCAGCAGAGUCAUCCUGGAU
Molecule: long non-coding RNA, 358 nt
Organism: Peromyscus eremicus (cactus mouse)
Lineage: Eukaryota; Metazoa; Chordata; Mammalia; Rodentia; Cricetidae
Exons: 3
Source: RefSeq, a predicted model, not a curated record